GACGAACGCUGGCGGCAGGCCUAACACAUGCAAGUCGAACGGUAGCACAGGAGAGCUUGCUCUCUGGGUGACGAGUGGCGGACGGGUGAGUAAUGCAUGGGGAGCUGCCCAAUCGAGGGGGAUACCAGCUGGAAACGGCUGCUAAUACCGCAUACGCCCUGAGGGGGAAAGGUGGGGACCUUCGGGCCUACCGCGAUUGGAUGCACCCAUGUGGGAUUAGCUAGUUGGUGAGGUAACGGCUCACCAAGGCGACGAUCUCUAGCUGGUCUGAGAGGAUGACCAGCCACACUGGAACUGAGACACGGUCCAGACUCCUACGGGAGGCAGCAGUGGGGAAUAUUGCACAAUGGGGGAAACCCUGAUGCAGCCAUGCCGCGUGUGUGAAGAAGGCCUUCGGUUGUAAGCACUUUCAGUGGGAGGAAGGGGUGGAGUGCCUAAUACGCAUCAUCAUUGACGUUACCCACACGAAGAAGACACCGG
This 480-nucleotide ribosomal RNA is filed under the name uncultured bacterium. RNAcentral describes it as "bacterial SSU rRNA". It matches the Rfam family "Bacterial small subunit ribosomal RNA", at positions 28 to 497 of the family's 1533-position model. The record is from RNAcentral.